CUGGCGGCGUGCUUAACACAUGCAAGUCGAACGGAAGUUAGAUGUUAGACUGUAGAUGUUAGAUAACAGAUGAAGGAAUAGGAUCCACAACCAGGAUAAAGAACCGACAUCUAAAAUCUAGUUUCUAGAGUCUAAUGUCUAACUUUAGUGGCGGACGGGCGAGUAACGCGUGAGCAACCUGCCUCUCAGUGGGGAAUAACGGCCGGAAACGGCCGCUAAUACCGCAUAAAAUAUCCACAUGGCAUCGUGAGGAUAUCAAAGGAGAAAUCCGCUGAGGGAUGGGCUCGCGUCCGAUUAGCUUGUUGGUGAGGUAAUGGCUCACCAAGGCAACGAUCGGUAGCCGAACUGAGAGGUUGAUCGGCCGCAUUGGGACUGAGACACGGCCCAGACUCCUACUGGAGGCAGCAGUGGGGAAUAUUGCACAAUGCAAGAAACUCUGAUGCACCACGCGCGUGAGGGAAUAAGGUCCUCCGAUUGUAAACCUAA
Molecule: ribosomal RNA, 486 nt
Filed under: uncultured bacterium
Lineage: Bacteria
Description: bacterial SSU rRNA
Rfam family: Bacterial small subunit ribosomal RNA
Source: RNAcentral